CCUUGUAUUUGGGAAAGUGUGGUGGUGGUGCGCGCGCUCUCGGCGGAGGGUAAACAUUCGACAGUCCCUGCUCUGUGAGGGAGGGACAGAGAGAGAACUGUCAGAGGGAGAGAAAGAGAAAGAGAGGAGGGGGAGGAGGGGAGGAGGAGGAGGAGGCGGCGGCGGCGAGGGAAGAGCAGAGCUGAGCUGCUGUACUCCAGCACCACCAGAGCACGCUUUGCAAGCUUGGCAGCCAACUUCCCCACUGGAGUUAGUGGCUAAAGGAUACCAUAUAUGCGCGCACACAAUCACACAUCUCUCACCGAGGCAAUUCCGCCUCCUCCCUCAGACAACAGCUGGAUCUUCUUUUCUCUUUUCCCCCCUUUCUUUUUUUCUCCUCUUCCUUUUCUAAUUAUAGAGCUCUCCGCCAAUUUUAAACUUUUCUUGGAGAAAAAAAGGGGUGUUUUUAAACUUGUGUUCUUUUAUCAUGUGAAAAGAAGAGCUGGGACCCCAAAGGCAAAACAAGAAAAAGAAAAGCAACAAAAAUGUCUUCUCCAGACUCUCGCAAGGAGGUUGCCAAAGGACUCUUGUUUCCAAGGGACCCGGGCGCUUCAACUGGAGCUCAACUUUGAGCAAUGCAUCAUCCCCAGCUUCGCCUCCUCCUCCUCCUCCACUGCCGCCUUCACCAGCAUCGCCAGAAGUUUUCUUAGGACAUAAACAAAACUUGUGCGCUACAGAAAGAGGAGGAAAGGAAAUCAAGGAGCCGAGCGGAGCCUGCGAAAACGAGAGAAGAGAGACAGUGUGUGCGUGUAUGUGUGUGAGGGGCGAAAGAAAGGAGCCCACACGCACUCAUUCACAACAUACAAAGCCUUGCAGGAGGAAAAGGGGGGGGGGAGAAGAAAGUUUCUCUGUGGGUGGAAAUUUAAAAAAGAAGAAGAAGAAGAAGGAAAACCUCUGAAGGAGAAAUAUGCCCCUGAGGGAGUGAAGGCAAGCCGAAAGGGGACUUCUUGGGUGACCUCCCCCGCUCCCACCGUUCCCGCUCUUUUCCCAUCCCUCUCUCUCUAUCUUUGUCUAUUUUGUGAUGUAUUUUUGGCGGCGGAGGCAAGCCCGAACAGGUGAAUUGCCUUAGCCGGGCUGAGGGCGAGGAAGAGGCACCCUUUUCGGAGAGCAGCCGGGAGCCCAGGAGGGCGCGCGCGGAGCUCGGUUUGGGGCCCGCCGGCUCGGCGGGCAGGCAGGCAGGGCGAGGAUUCGCCUCACCCACGACUUCGCUGCGGCGGCUGGAGUACGAAGUGGAGGGGGGGGGAGCCAGCAGCAGCAGCAGCAGCAGCAGGCAGCGGCGAUGGCUACGGCGGCGUCUAACCCUUACCUGCCCAGCAACAGCAUCCUGUCGGCGGGCUCGAUAGUGCACUCGGACGCGGUGUCCGGCGGGGGGAUGCAGCCGGGCAGCGUGGCCGUCACCUCGGUGUCUGGGGGCGGCUACCGGGGCGACCCUUCCUCAGUGAAGAUGGUCCAGAGUGACUUCAUGCAGGGCGCCAUGGCGGCCAGCAACGGCGGCCAUAUGCUGAGCCAUGCCCACCAGUGGGUGACAGCCUUGCCCCACGCCGCAGCCGCUGCCGCUGCCGCCGCCGCCGCCGCCGUGGAAGCCGGCUCGCCGUGGUCCAGCAGCCCGGUGGGCAUGACGGGCAGCCCGCAGCAGCAGCAGCAACAGCAGCAGCAGCAGCAACAGCAGCAGCCCGACGUGAAGGGAGGCGGCGGGCGGGACGACCUGCACUCGGGCCCAGCGUUGCACCACCGGCCCCCGCCGCACCUGGGCCCCCCGCACCAGGGCCACUGGGGCGCCACCACGGCCGCCCACCUGCCUUCCAUGGCCGGCCAGCAGCAGCAGCAGUCGCUCAUCUACUCGCAGCCCGGCGGCUUCACGGUCAACGGCAUGCUGAGCCCGCCGCCCGGCAGCCAGAGCCUCGUGCAUCCGGGCUUGGUGCGGGGAGACACGCCAGAGCUGAGCGACCACCCGGGCCACCACCACCAUCACCACCACCACCCGCACCCGCACCCGCACCACGGCGGCGGCGGAGGGGGAGGCGGCGGCGCGGGGGGCCUCAACAGCCACGACCCGCACUCCGACGAGGACACGCCGACCUCGGACGACCUGGAGCAGUUCGCCAAGCAGUUCAAGCAGCGGCGGAUCAAGCUGGGCUUCACGCAGGCCGACGUGGGCUUGGCGCUGGGCACCCUGUACGGCAACGUCUUCUCGCAGACCACCAUCUGCCGGUUCGAGGCUCUGCAGCUCAGCUUCAAGAACAUGUGCAAACUCAAGCCUUUGUUAAACAAGUGGCUGGAGGAAGCCGACUCGUCCACGGGCAGCCCCACCAGCAUCGACAAGAUCGCGGCGCAAGGCAGGAAGAGGAAGAAGCGGACCUCCAUCGAGGUGAGUGUCAAGGGGGCCUUGGAGAGCCACUUUCUGAAAUGCCCCAAGCCCUCCGCCCAGGAGAUUACGAACCUAGCGGACAGCCUGCAGCUGGAAAAGGAGGUGGUCAGGGUUUGGUUUUGCAAUCGGAGGCAGAAAGAGAAACGGAUGACCCCCCCGGGGAUCCAGCAGCAGACGCCCGACGAUGUCUACUCCCAGGUCGGCAACGUGAAUUCCGACACGCCGCCCCCGCACCACGGACUCCAGACGAGCGUGCAGUGAAAAGGCAGUCGUCGACACACAGUGAGAGGGAUUAGGAAGAAGGGAGAGAAGAAGAGAGAGAGAGAGAGGCAGAGAGGGAGGCAGGAGAGGGAGGCGGUUUGGGGAAGCCGAGGCGGGGUGGGGGAGGGGAGGGAGAAGGGAGGCAGAGACGCAAACAAUAACACAAACACACCACACCAAGUCUGCACCCAGGCUGGCUGGCUGGGUCUGGAGGUUUUGUUUUAAAUCCAUCUCUGAAAUGCUUGGGGUUGUCGAUCCCAGCGACAGAAAUGCUACCUUACUGUAGUGAGAAAAGAGAAACCAAAAUACAGCCGACCCGGAUGUUGUUCCCUUUUUUAAAAAAAAACAUAACAAAACAUAAUCUAAAUUAUGUCCUGUUGUUGUUUUUACUGUUGUUGCCGCGAUAAAAGAGCACUCUCUUCUGUACUUCUCUCUCUCCCUUCCAUCAUCAUUCCCUUGCCUCACACACACACACACACACCCGCAGCCGCAGCCCCCCUCCCCCCCCCACACAAACCUUUUAAAAACGAUCUGCGAUUCAUGGAAACUUUUCUAUCUUUCUUUCUCUCUUUCUCACUCACACAUACUCACAUUUUAAAAUAAAAUUAGUCUGGAUAAAGGAAGGAAGCAGGAGCAGCAUCCCUAGGAGGUGCUUGCUGCGCUCUAGAACUUAGUUUUUCUUGGCCAAACUGCAUUAAUUUGGUGCAAGGCAGGAGUCCACUUUGAAAGAAGAAACAUUACUCUGCAGGAAUGGAGAGGGUCGCUUCCUCUAGGUAGGAGAGAAAGGGAGGGAAAUGCACGCAGCACUAAAAGCAAGCAGAUCGGGUAGGAAAGCAAAUAUAUAUUAUAUAUAUCAAGAAAAAGAGAGAGAAAGAGAGCGAGGAGGAGGAAAAAAGAAAAGAAGAAAGACUGACCCUGAAAAGAAAGGGGGGUGGAGGGAGGGACUGCUACCCCACAGAAAAAAAUGCAGGGCGAGGUUGUUGGUCCUUAAAGUCGGAGCUCUGUAGAAGGAUUUUGCAUGAAUUAAGGCUAACAGCGACAUAAAGGGAAUAAUUCAGGGUUGUCAAAGUUAUGUUCCUGAUGGCUGCCAAUCAUCCUGGAAGAUUAAUUAAAAAAAGUUCACGGCUAAUAUUUUUUUUAUUAAUAUUUUUUAUUUUUUAUUUCUGGACUAAUUCAGAUAAAGGGAUUUUAAAAGGACUGGGCAUCUGCAGCUGCACUUAUCUGAACUUCUCUCCUAAAUCCGUUGCCAACUUGAUUGAAUGGGUGCUGUGGAUGUGAUUAUAUAACACUGCCAUUUCCUCGCAGUGUUUUUGAGGUUAAUCACGGAUUGACGGAAAUGUAUUGACUGAAAUGAAGGAUGGAGAGUACUACCACCGCUCUAAAGAUGCUAUGUCUGCCUUCACUUUAAAUACAUGUAUUUCUAUAGACUUAAAAAGGAAAGCACAAUGCAUAAUGGACACACUAGCUAAAGAAGACAAUAUACUUGCAUUUCCAGGAUAAAGGACAUUGAAUGAAGAGCAAUGCUAGGAGCGGCCCAAAGGUCUGAGAAAGAAUCACGCUCCAGUGCCUGAUCCACCAGGAAAUGGGGAACUGCCCCAGAUGUCCCUGCAUCAUCACUUCCAAGGCAAUCUUCCACCAGGAGACUAUCUGCCCUCUAUAUGGUCCUGGAGAUGCCAGAGACUCUUUCAUGCACAACAUGCUCUAUUCAGAGCAGAUGCUAAAUCAUGUGGACCUCAACCAAGUGCUGUUGUGGGUGCCCCCAGUGUUGAGGACGGUCCAUCUCAACAUAUCAGAACCAGAGGUACCAGCCCAGAAGUAUAUGGAAUAUAGGCCUGUGUCUGAUUUCAUUUUAUAUUAAGAGUUCAAUUAAAUGCCUGGACUCGUUAAACUGAUACCCAGGUCAACUGCUCUGUGAAGGAGGAGGCAAUCCAGCAUUGUAUUGUGAAAUGGCUACUCAAGGGAGUACAAAAGCCAAGCCUGAAUGCUGAAUGCUAUAUCCAAAUGCUAAAAUGUGACUCACUACCAGAUACUGUCUGAGGAAAAUCUCCCCUCUCCUGUUGCAAGAAGCCAGCGUUAAUCCUUGCCAACGAUUAACACAAUUGCUCUCUAUAGAGAUUCAACAUAGGUAAUGCAUACAAAGAAAAUACCUGUAGACUUUAAUUCUUAUCUCACUGAUGCUUCUGCCCUAGCCAAAUGUAUUGAACUCGUCUCACACAUGUACCCCUUUUUAUGUUACUUUAAAUAUUCUCUUGUUAUAAUUACACACUAGAUAGAGGUACACAAGAAAUAAUGUAAUUGCUGUCUCACACAAAUAGAACUAAUUCUCUCACUAAUUCCUGACUUUUAACACCUUUUGGGGUCAGACUGGCAAUUGGGGGAAGAUGCAAUUUGUAGCUCUGAGAUGCAGAUUUGCUUUGGGCAAUGUUCCCCCUCCCUUCCUAAGCGCACAGUUUACAGAAGAUGAGAUUGAGAUCUCUCUGGACUGGCCAAUAUCCUGAAUAAUUAAAAAGACAUUGUCAAGAAGGUAGCAGCAAGUUGUCACCUUUUUGGACCCAGGAAAGAUGAGACUUGAAUAGACUCUAUGAGAGAGAGAUCAAAGGAAAAUACACUAUAAAGAAUGAGGCUACUGGACAGAGAGUUAGCAGUCUUGUGCCUAUGGGCAAUCUUUUGCCUACAGUAAGAGCUGCUCAUAAAGAUCCCAGAGUUUGCUGCUAAGCCGCGGGGCAACAGCAGGAACUCUGUCCAUGGACAGGAGCUGUCUGUGACUUCUACUGCGCAGUGAGAAGUCAAGACUUCCCCAGCCAUGGUGCUCUGGCUCUCAGCUGUGAUCUGAGCAACUGCAAAUGCUGCUGUCUCCUGCCAAAGGCCUCGCUCCUUCAGCUGGAAAUACCUCCGCUCUCAAGUCUCUGAUCCUGGUAAAUAUGCUGUCCUUACGAGCCUGGAAUCCCUUCAUCCCUUCCCCUUCUUCUGCUCCCCUCCCCUCGUCCCUAUACUAAUCCCUGAUCUCCCCCAAACCAUGCCAGCCCUCAGCCUUCCUUCCCCCCCUCUUUUCUGCCUGUAUAUUAGGCUUUAGGAAGAUUUAAUGUACACACAUAUGUAGUUAGGAACACUGGUUGAAUACUGGUGCUGGCUAGGAUGUUCUGUUUAAAUGCUGUUAGUAAUAUAUUGAUAGAGUGUUCUGCUUUCUGCUAGACUAUGUGUUAUUCUUUUAUACUCAAUAAAGCCCAUUGAA
Hemicordylus capensis (graceful crag lizard) is the source of this 5900-nucleotide RNA transcript. It is a transcript of the gene named POU class 3 homeobox 3, with no coding region annotated. The record is from RefSeq and is a predicted model, not a curated record. The transcript is spliced from 4 exons. Lineage: Eukaryota; Metazoa; Chordata; Lepidosauria; Squamata; Cordylidae.